This 307-nucleotide unclassified non-coding RNA is filed under the name Hevea brasiliensis (rubber tree). Lineage: Eukaryota; Viridiplantae; Streptophyta; Magnoliopsida; Malpighiales; Euphorbiaceae. The record is from RNAcentral.
GCUGGGCAGGGCCUUCUUGUGUUUCAAAUGCCAUAAUGGUAAGACGAGAAAAGUUUAUGCUUACUAAUCCGGUGAGAUGCAGAUUCUGCUGUAUGUAUAAAACACGAUUAGUGUCUUACAUCCUGGAUGCUCUGGCUCUUUUCUCGAUCGUUAACCUGCACUCUCUAGUGCAGCUGGGACAGACUUCCAGUCGAAGCCUGUAUGCAUUGAGAAUUGAGAUUUACCAACCUGUUUCUAACAGAUUAUGGUGGAUAUGUGAUGGUGCCUCGUAAUUUAGUCAUGGUCAGAAGAAAGCUUGUCAAAAAAU